Long non-coding RNA from Arabidopsis thaliana (thale cress), 591 nucleotides. RefSeq annotates it as other RNA. The transcript has a single exon. The record is from RefSeq. Lineage: Eukaryota; Viridiplantae; Streptophyta; Magnoliopsida; Brassicales; Brassicaceae.
CAAUUUUGGAACCAGACCUAAAGAUAAAUAUAAAAUAAAAUAAAAAGAAGCCAAAAACGUUACAAUCAUACUCAGCUGAUCAUACUUAUAUCUUAUAAGUUUAGCACAACCUGAGAUCAAGAUCACCCAAUGAGAAUUUUUUUUGUUAACAUGUAUGUGAGAAUUACAAGCCAUAGACACCGCUGAUUUAUGUGAGAAUCCAACACAUAUAAAUACAAGGAGAAAAAAAAGAACAAACCUAAAGAGUUCUGCCUCUGCUUUCAAAUCCUCUACUUCUUCCACAUGUUCCUCAAUUUUGGAAUCAGACCUAUACAGAUCAAAACACUCCCUCCGUGAAAUUAACCAUUGCCCAGCAAAAAGAAAACAAAAACGUAACGAUCAGACCUAAACACCCAAAUCUACUGAUGAAACGAAACAAGUAAAUCUCAAAUCCAAAGAGAUUUUCAGUGGCCUUUCAGAUUGCAAACACAAUAGAUCAAAGAGUAUUGAGCCACAUACCUUUUGGGAUUACAGAUCUUAUACAAGAUUAACGACACAAGUUCUUUUGCUCUGCAAGCCAUUAUUAGGGCCGGAGAAGAUGAUCGCACUACG